Molecule: ribosomal RNA, 740 nt
Filed under: uncultured bacterium
Lineage: Bacteria
Description: bacterial SSU rRNA
Rfam family: Bacterial small subunit ribosomal RNA
Source: RNAcentral
CUUACACAUGCAAGUCGAGCGAAGCGCUUUACUUAGAAUUCUUCGGAAGGAAGAGUGGAGUGACUGAGCGGCGGACGGGUGAGUAACGCGUGGAUAACCUGCCUCAUACAGGGGGAUAACAGUCAGAAAUGGCUGCUAAUACCGCAUAAGGCCACAGUACCGCAUGGUACAGGGGUCAAAGGAGAGAUCCGGUAUAAGAUGAGCUCGCGUUCCAUUAGCUGGUUGGUGAGGUAACGGCCCACCAAGGCAACGAUGGGUAGCCGGCCUGAGAGGGUGAACGGCCACAUUGGGACUGAGACACGGCCCAAACUCCUACGGGAGGCAGCAGUGGGGGAUAUUGCGCAAUGGGGGAAACCCUGACGCAGCAACGCCGCGUGAGUGAAGGAGGCCUUCGGGUCGUAAAACUCUGUGACAGGGGAAGAAGAAAGUGACGGUACCCUGAGAGGAAGCCCCGGCUAACUACGUGCCAGCAGCCGCGGUAACACGUAGGGGGCAAGCGUUGUCCGGAAUUACUGGGCGUAAAGGGUGCGUAGGCGGCCGAGCAAGUCCGAUGUGAAAGACUACGGCUAAACUGUGGGGGUGCAUAGGAAACUGUCCGGCUUGAGUGCAGGAGAGGAAAGUGGAAUUCCUAGUGUAGCGGUGAAAUGCGUAGAGAUUAGGAAGAACACCAGUGGCGAAGGCGGUUCUCUGGACUGUAACUGACGCUGAGGCACGAAAGCGUGGGUAGCAAACAGGAUUAG